UAAUACGUAGGUGGCGAGCGUUGUCCGGAAUUACUGGGUGUAAAGGGCGUGUAGGCGGGGCGGCAAGUCAGAUGUGAAAUACCUCGGCUUAACUGAGGUGCUGCAACUGAAACUGUCGUUCUUGAGUGUCGGAGAGGAAAGUGGAAUUCCCAGUGUAGCGGUGAAAUGCGUAGAGAUUGGGAGGAACACCAGUGGCGAAGGCGGCUUUCUGGCCGAUAACUGACGCUGAGGCGCGAAAGCAUGGGGAGCAAACAGGAUUAGAUACCCUGGUAGUCCAUGCUGUAAACGAUGGAUACUAGGUGUAGGAGGUAUCGACCCCUUCUGUGCCGGAGUUAACACAAUAAGUAUCCCACCUGGGGAGUACGGCCGCAAGGUUGAAACUCAAAGGAAUUGACGGGGGCCCGCACAAGCAGUGGAGUAUGUGGUUUAAUUCGAAGCAACGCGAAGAACCUUACCAGGGCUUGACAUCCCUCUGCCAGUCUUAGAGAUAAGACUUUUCUUCGGAACAGAGGAGACAGGUGGUGCAUGGUUGUUGUCAGCUCGUGUCGUGAGAUGUUGGGUUAAGUCCCGCAACGAGCGCAACCCCUGUCCCAAGUUGCCAACGGGUAAAGCCGGGAACUCUUGGGAGACCGCCGGCGACAAGCCGGAGGAAGGUGGGGAUGACGUCAAGUCAUCAUGCCCUUUAUGCCCUGGGCUACACACGUGCUACAAUGGCCGGUACAGAGGGUAGCCAAGGCGCGAGCCGGAGCGAAUCCCCCAAAGCCGGCCCCAGUUCGGAUCGCAGGCUGCAACCCGCCUGCGUGAAGUAGGAAUCGCUAGUAAUCACGGGUCAGCAUACCGUGGUGAAUACGUUCCCGGGCCUUGUACACACCGCCCGUCACACCACGAAAGUUUGCAACACCCGAAGCCGGUGGCCUAACCCGCAAGGGAGGGAGCCGUCGAAGGUGGGGCAGAUGAUUGGGGUG
RNAcentral lists this ribosomal RNA (965 nucleotides) under uncultured bacterium. Its description in RNAcentral is "bacterial SSU rRNA". It matches the Rfam family "Bacterial small subunit ribosomal RNA", at positions 521 to 1482 of the family's 1533-position model. The record is from RNAcentral.